UACGUAGGGUGCAAGCGUUAAUCGGAAUUACUGGGCGUAAAGCGUGCGCAGGCGGCUUUGCAAGACAGAUGUGAAAAUCCCCGGGCUUACCCUGGGAACUGCAUUUGUGACUGCAUGGCUGGAGUGCGGCAGAGGGGGAUGGAAUUCCGCGUGUAGCAGUGAAAUGCGUAGAGAUGUGGAGGAACACCGAUGGCGAAGGCAGCCUCCUGGGCUAGUACUGACGCUCAUGCACGAAAGCGUGGGGAGCAAACGGG
RNAcentral lists this ribosomal RNA (254 nucleotides) under uncultured bacterium. RNAcentral describes it as "partial 16S ribosomal RNA". It matches the Rfam family "Bacterial small subunit ribosomal RNA", at positions 524 to 776 of the family's 1533-position model. The record is from RNAcentral.